UACGAAGGGAGCUAGCGUUGUUCGGAAUCACUGGGCGUAAAGCGCACGUAGGCGGAUGUGUCAGUCAGGGGUGAAAUCCCGGAGCUCAACUUCGGAACUGCCUUUGAUACAGCACGUCUUGAGUCCGAUAGAGGUGGGUGGAAUUCCUAGUGUAGAGGUGAAAUUCGUAGAUAUUAGGAAGAACACCGGUGGCGAAGGCGGCCCACUGGAUCGGUACUGACGCUGAGGCACGAAAGCGUGGGGAGCAAACAGG
This 253-nucleotide ribosomal RNA is filed under the name uncultured bacterium. Its description in RNAcentral is "partial 16S ribosomal RNA". It matches the Rfam family "Bacterial small subunit ribosomal RNA", at positions 524 to 776 of the family's 1533-position model. The record is from RNAcentral.